CCUACGGGAGGCAGCAGUGAGGAAUAUUGGUCAAUGGGCGUAAGCCUGAACCAGCCAAGUCGCGUGAGGGAUGAAGGUUCUAUGGAUCGUAAACCUCUUUUAUAAGGGAAUAAAGUGCGGGACGUGUCCCGUUUUGUAUUUACCUUAUGAAUAAGGAUCGGAUAACUCCGUUCCAUCAGCCGCGGUAAUACGGAGGAUCCGAGCGUUAUCCGGAUUUAUUGGGUUUAAAGGGUGCGUAGGCGGCCUUUUAAGUCAGCGGUGAAAGUCUGUGGCUCAACCAUAGAAUUGCCGUUGAAACUGGGAGGCUUGAGUAUGUUUGAGGCAGGCGGAAUGCGUGGUGUAGCGGUGAAAUGCUUAGAUAUCACGCAGAACCCCGAGUGCGAAGGCAGCAUACUGGCGCUCAACUGACGCUCAUGCACGAAAGUGUGGGUAUCGAACAGGAUUAGAUACCCCAGUAGUC
Molecule: ribosomal RNA, 460 nt
Filed under: uncultured bacterium
Lineage: Bacteria
Description: partial 16S ribosomal RNA
Rfam family: Bacterial small subunit ribosomal RNA
Source: RNAcentral